Molecule: transfer RNA, 77 nt
Filed under: Serratia rubidaea
Lineage: Bacteria; Pseudomonadati; Pseudomonadota; Gammaproteobacteria; Enterobacterales; Yersiniaceae
Description: tRNA-Pro
Rfam family: tRNA
About the family: Transfer RNA (tRNA) molecules are approximately 80 nucleotides in length. Their secondary structure includes four short double-helical elements and three loops (D, anti-codon, and T loops).
Source: RNAcentral
CGGCAUGUAGCGCAGCCUGGUAGCGCACCGUCAUGGGGUGUCGGGGGUCGGAGGUUCGAAUCUUCUCAUGCCGACCA